Molecule: unclassified non-coding RNA, 241 nt
Filed under: Glomus sp.
Lineage: Eukaryota; Fungi; Glomeromycota; Glomeromycetes; Glomerales; Glomeraceae
Description: partial contains 5.8S ribosomal RNA and internal transcribed spacer 2
Rfam family: 5.8S ribosomal RNA (bases 1-65)
Source: RNAcentral
GUGAAUCAUCGAAUCUUUGAACGCAAAUUGCACUCUCCUCGGAGAGUAUGCCUGUUUGAGGGUCAGCCUAUAAAAAAUCGACAUCGUUGCUGUUUCGCGGUGGCGUUCGUCGGAAAUCGGGUCAUCUUAAAUCUUUUGGUUUUAAGCUACUUAAAAUUUUCUUUUUGGUUCCAUGAAUGUUUCUAAGAUUUAUUUCUUUACCCGUUUAAGGUAUCGACUUUUACUUAACGUGACCAACAUU